AAUGCGUUUAUAUGGGGAUAUGUGAACGUUAAUUGGCCGACUACUGUACAUUUCAGGCUUCUCUGUGGUUGUGGGCGUGUUUUGACGUUUGGUUUUGUGCGAUUUGAACGCUUCCUAGUUUGACACAUUGUAAUAGUUUUAUUACAUACUGUAUUGUACCUGACCUGUAGGCUAAGUAGCCUAUUAUACCGUGUUAGAAAGAGCAUCAAUCGGACACCCAAUAGAACGCCUCGAGCGCACAUUCAAUGACGCGUACCCUGACACGCGCUGAAGAGAACUGCCUUUAUCAACCGACAUUCUUCCUGAUGUCACUUCUCAACAUGCCGACCACCUGUUUUAUGACCGUGAUCUGGUGGCUCACAACCGAUUCAACUCGUAGUCAAACAGCAAUUCCCAAUGGUCACGGAGGGGUAGAUGCGGUUCUGGGGGUGUCCAACGCCAGCGUCCUCCUGCUGGACCCCAGCUCUGAGACACUCUACCUGGGAGCCAGAGGCUCCA
Molecule: long non-coding RNA, 498 nt
Organism: Coregonus clupeaformis (lake whitefish)
Lineage: Eukaryota; Metazoa; Chordata; Actinopteri; Salmoniformes; Salmonidae
Exons: 3
Source: RefSeq, a predicted model, not a curated record